CUUCGGGUUGUAAACCGCUUUCAGGAGGGACGAAGCCACUCGGGUUAAUAGCCCAGAGGGUGACGGUACCUCCAGAAGAAGCCCCGGCUAACUACGUGCCAGCAGCCGCGGUAAUACGUAGGGGGCAAGCGUUGUCCGGAUUUAUUGGGCGUAAAGAGCGUGUAGGCGGCUUGGCAAGUCCGCUGUGAAAACUCGAGGCUCAACCUCGAGCUGUCGGUGGAAACUGCUUGGCUAGAGUCCGGAAGAGGAGUGUGGAAUUCCUGGUGUAGCGGUGAAAUGCGCAGAUAUCAGGAAGAACACCUAUGGCGAAGGCAGCACUCUGGGACGGUACUGACGCUGAGACGCGAAAGCGUGGGGAGCGAACAGGAUAGAUACCCUGGUAGUCCACGCCGUAAACGAUGGAUGCUAGGUGUGGGCGGUGUCGACUCCGUCCGUGCCGAAGCUAACGCAUUAAGCAUCCCGCCUGGGGGGUACGGCCGCAAGGCUAAAACUCAAAGGAAUUGACGG
Molecule: ribosomal RNA, 507 nt
Filed under: uncultured bacterium
Lineage: Bacteria
Description: bacterial SSU rRNA
Rfam family: Bacterial small subunit ribosomal RNA
Source: RNAcentral